CCUACGGGUGGCUGCAGUCGAGAAUCAUUCACAAUGGGGGAAACCCUGAUGGUGCGACGCCGCGUGGGGGAAUGAAGGUCUUCGGAUUGUAAACCCCUGUCAUGUGGGAGCAAAUUAAAAAGAUAGUACCACAAGAGGAAGAGACGGCUAACUCUGGGCCAGCAGCCGCGGUAAUACAGAGGUCUCAAGCGUUGUUCGGAAUCACUGGGCGUAAGGCGUGCGUAGGCUGUUUCGUAAGUCGUGUGUGAAAGGCGCGGGCUCAACCCGCGGACGGCACAUGAUACUGGGAGACUAGAGUAAUGGAGGGGGAACCGGAAUUCUCGGUGUAGCAGUGAAAUGCGUAGAUAGCGAGAGGAACACUCGUGGCGAAGGCGGGUUCCUGGACAUUAACUGACGCUGAGGCACGAAGGCCAGGGGAGCGAAAGGGAUUAGAUACCCCUGUAGUC
RNAcentral lists this ribosomal RNA (446 nucleotides) under uncultured bacterium. RNAcentral describes it as "partial 16S ribosomal RNA". It matches the Rfam family "Bacterial small subunit ribosomal RNA", at positions 338 to 795 of the family's 1533-position model. The record is from RNAcentral.